Molecule: ribosomal RNA, 465 nt
Filed under: Vreelandella stevensii
Lineage: Bacteria; Pseudomonadati; Pseudomonadota; Gammaproteobacteria; Oceanospirillales; Halomonadaceae
Description: partial 16S ribosomal RNA
Rfam family: Bacterial small subunit ribosomal RNA
Source: RNAcentral
CCUACGGGGGGCUGCAGUGGGGAAUAUUGGACAAUGGGGGGAACCCUGAUCCAGCCAUGCCGCGUGUGUGAAGAAGGCCCUCGGGUUGUAAAGCACUUUCAGUGAGGAAGAACGCCUGGUGGUUAAUACCCAUCAGGAAAGACAUCACUCACAGAAGAAGCACCGGCUAACUCCGUGCCAGCAGCCGCGGUAAUACGGAGGGUGCGAGCGUUAAUCGGAAUUACUGGGCGUAAAGCGCGCGUAGGUGGCUUGAUAAGCCGGUGUGGAAAGCCCCGGGCUCAACCUGGGAACGGCAUCCGGAACUGUCAAGCUAGAGUGCAGGAGAGGAAGGUAGAAUUCCCGGUGUAGCGGUGAAAUGCGUAGAGAUCGGGAGGAAUACCAGUGGCGAAGGCGGCCUUCUGGACUGACACUGACACUGAGGUGCGAAAGCGUGGGUAGCAAACAGGAUUAGAUACCCCUGUAGUC